Molecule: ribosomal RNA, 253 nt
Filed under: uncultured bacterium
Lineage: Bacteria
Description: partial 16S ribosomal RNA
Rfam family: Bacterial small subunit ribosomal RNA
Source: RNAcentral
UACGGAGGUGGCAAGCGAUACUCGGAAUCACUAGGCGUAAAGCGCAGGUAGGAGGUUUAGUAAGUCUGUUGUGAAAGCUCCCGGCUUAACUGGGAGAGGUCAACGGAAACUGCUAGGCUAGAGUGCGGUAGAGGUAGCUGGAAUUCCCGGUGUAGCGGUGAAAUGCGUAGAUAUCGGGAGGAAUACCUAUGGCGAAAGCAGGCUACUGGACCGUCACUGACUCUGAUCUGCGAAAGCUAGGGGAGCAAACAGG